AGAGUUUGAUCCUGGCUCAGAGCGAACGCUGGCGGCAGGCUUAACACAUGCAAGUCGAACGGACCCUUCGGGGUUAGUGGCGGACGGGUGAGUAACACGUGGGAACGUGCCUUUAGGUUCGGAACAACACAGGGAAACUUGUGCUAAUACCGGAUGUGCCCUUCGGGGGAAAGAUUUAUCGCCUUUAGAGCGGCCCGCGUCUGAUUAGCUUGUUGGUGAGGUAAAGGCUCACCAAGGCUACGAUCAGUAGCUGGUCUGAGAGGAUGGCCAGCCACAUUGGGACUGAGACACGGCCCAAACUCCUACGGGAGGCAGCAGUGGGGAAUCUUGCGCAAUGGGCGAAAGCCUGACGCAGCCAUGCCGCGUGGAUGAUGAAGGUCUUAGGAUUGUAAAAUCCUUUCAGCGGGGACGAUAAUGACGGUACCCGCAGAAGAAGCCCCGGCUAACUUCGUGCCAGCAGCCGCGGUAAUACGAAGGGGGCUAGCGUUGCUCGGAUUUACUGGGCGUAAAGGGCGCGUAGGCGGACAGUUAAGUUGGGGGUGAAAGCCCGGGGCUCAACCUCGGAAUUGCCUUCAAUACUGGCUGUCUUGAGUGUGAGAGAGGUGUGUGGAACUCCGAGUGUAGAGGUGAAAUUCGUAGAUAUUCGGAAGAACACCAGUGGCGAAGGCGACACACUGGCUCACUACUGACGCUGAGGCGCGAAAGCGUGGGGAGCAAACAGGAUUAGAUACCCCUGUAGUCC
Molecule: ribosomal RNA, 742 nt
Filed under: uncultured Caulobacteraceae bacterium
Lineage: Bacteria; Pseudomonadati; Pseudomonadota; Alphaproteobacteria; Caulobacterales; Caulobacteraceae
Description: bacterial SSU rRNA
Rfam family: Bacterial small subunit ribosomal RNA
Source: RNAcentral